AUAAAAGAAAGAGGUUUAAUUGGACUUACGGUUCCACGUGGCUGGGGAAGCCUCACAAUCGUGGCAGAAGGCAAGGAGGAGCAAGUCCUGUCUUACAUGAUGGCAGCAGGCAAAGAGAGAAUGAGGAAGAUGCAAAAGCAGAAAUCCCUGAUAAAACCAUCAGACCUUGUGCAACUUAUUGACUCCAUGAGAACAGUAUGGGGGAAACCACCCUCAUGAUUCAAUUAUCUCUCACCAGGUCCCUCCCACAACACGUGGAAUUAUGGGAGUACAAUUCAAGAUGAGAUUUGGGUGGGGACACAGAGCCAGACCAUGUCACUAUUUUAUUAUUGCCAAAUUAUUCUCCAUAGUGGUUACAUCAGUGUAUAGUCUCACAGCGUUAUAUGAAAGUUUCCAUUUACCCAGAUUUUUGCCAGCUCAUAGUAUAUGUAUGACUUUACAUGUUUGCUAUUCUGAUAGUUAUAAAAUGGUAUAGAUCAUCAUAAUUUUGAGUUUUCUCUGAUUUCAGUGUCUUCAAUCUGAAUCUGUUAGAGACCAGUAUUAGUGGUUUCUAAAAGGCCUUUUGUUUUUGAACUGAAAACUUUGUUUAACCUUUUAUUGUGAUACUUGUCAGUAGUGAUAUGAUCUCUAUUUUAUAUCCAACUUAUUUUUCAGUUUGCUAAUCCAGACUUUACACAACCUAUCUCAGAAGUUGUAGAUGAAGUAAUUCAGAAUUGUCCUAUUGAUGUCAGACGUCCUCUCUACAAGAAUAUUGUCCUCUCUGGAGGUUCAACCAUGUUCAGGGACUUUGGACGUCGCUUGCAAAGAGAUUUGAAAAGAACUGUAGAUGCCCGGCUGAAAUUAAGUGAGGAAUUGAGUGGCGGUAGAUUGAAGGUUGGUUUUCCCGAUUAUUGGUGAGAAGGUUGAGGGUGCCUUCCUUGAUUGGGAUGAAAAAUAUUUGCCAACAUUCACUCUGAUUUAGGAAAAUAAGAGGAACGUGUCAGGUAUUCUAAUGGAAAUGGUUAAUGUUAUAGAUUUAUGUCUGAUAUUCUGGAUCAUUUGAUUCUUUUAGGAUGUUGUCUGUAUUUCUGGAAAAUAAUUCUUAGUAAAACCUGUGGAAAGACUUUUUUUAAAAUACCUCUCUCAUAGAUAAUUAAUAUAGAUUUCUUUGCAUACACCAACAAUAAAAUUAAUUAUGGAUCCACAAAAUUUUAUAUACUAUAGAAGGACAACAAAGCUGAGUUGAGAUUGAUGCCAUUGUUGAGUAGUCAAGCCUGCUCUCAAAAACUGACUUUAGCUCCCACAUAGCGACCUCAAAGUGUGCACUCAAAUCGGUGGUUUAACAAAGUAACCUUUGUAUUACAUGUCCUGCACCUUUAGGCUUGAGGUUAAAAAAAAUAAAAAUUAAUUUAAAAUUCUUAGAUGUCUACUUUCUAUAUUUAGAGAUAGAUUCUUCAUUUUUUUCAUCCUUGUUAAAUAUUGAAGCAGAACAUUGACUUAGAGCAAUGAUAUGGCUUUUUUCAAAGCUGUUUGAAAAAAGGUAUUUUGAAUAAAGGUAUUUCAUGCUGAAUAAAAUAACCUUCUGCUUGGAAGAUUACCAAGAAUGAGGACUUUAUCUGAAACUUCCACAAUCAUUCAGAAUUACUUAAAAGUAAAGCACAACACUCUAGGGUUUGCUGAUUGUCGAGAAAUUGCAUGAUGGCUGACUGUUCUCAGCGCCUAUAUUUUGAUGAUCGUGAGUAAACCUAUCCCUAGGAAUGCAGUACAAAGUGUAUGUUUUGGGUGGAAGGCAAAAUAUUGAACUCUGUCCCUAUAAUGUCAUGACUUCACACUUCAGGAAGUCUACUCAAUAGACUUUUAAAAUGUUGCGUUUGCUUUUGUAUCCCCUUCCCAACCAACCAAACCACCAGCCCACCCCCAUUCAUCCAUUCAUUUGCCCAUCCAUCUACUCCCCUUACCCACAUAUCUGUCUACCCUACCUCCUACCUAAAAAAGAAGUCAUUGGGUUUUGCAAGUAUAAAUUCUCUGUACUGAGAAUCCUACUAACCACAUUGAUUAUGUGAAUGAACAUAGUGCAUGUUCUGUUUUUUUUGUUAGAAUACUUAAAAGAUUGAAGUUGAUUGUCCUAAUGGUAUGGUUAUGGAUGUAUUAAGUAGCCAUUUAGUUUUUAAUAACUCAUUACAGAUAUGUAAGUACAAAACAAUGCUGUAUGUUUUUGAGUAUAGUAUUUUAAUAAAGUGAGAUUGUUUAACAUUUUUAAGCUCUUUUUACACUUGUAAAUAAGAAAUAAAUUUACCCAGUGAUCAGUACCGUAUCGAUGUAUCGAAAGAAACAGGUUGGGUGUCCCUUUUUUGAAUUGUUUCAUACCAGAAGUGUUUCAGGUUUUGAGUUUUUCUGGAUUUUGGAGUAUUUGCAUUAUAUACUGGUUCAACAUCCUUAAUCCAAAAAUCUGAAAUCGUGAGCAUUUCCUUUGAACAUCAUGUUGGUGCUCAAAAAGUUUUUGGAUCUUGGAGCAUUUUGGAUUUUCAGACUUGGGAUGCUCAUCAUGUAUAGGAAAAACCUUGUGUUUUGGAGGACUCUGCCUUCUUCACCUUAGUUUUACUUGCUAGUAACUUUUAUGGUCUUAAUAGCAUGGCUUUAUCUAUCUAUCUGUCUCUGGCUUUAUUCCCCUUCCGUCUGUAAUUUUUAAUGGCAAUGAAACAGCUUUGAAAAAAGCCAUAUCAUUCUGUUUCUAUAAAUAUGUGUGUGUACACACACACACACACACACUAAAUUGUAGAUAUGAUGGUUCAUUAUCCCCAACCAUUUUAGUAUAUUUCUAAAAUCAAGAACAUAUUACAGUUAUCAAAAUCAUGAAAUUAACCUUGAUCCAGUGUUAUCUAGUUAUAGAACUGAUUCUAAUUUUACCAGUUGUUUCACUAAUGUCCCUUAUAACAAAAGGAGAACAAAAUACCUUUUUCCCCCUUAUCCAGGAUCCAGUCAAGGAUUGCAUGUUUCAUUUACUUAUUGUGUUGCUUCAGUCUGUUACAUACUCAGUGUUUUUUGUCUUUCAUGAAUGAAUGUAACAUUUUUGAAGAGUACAGUCAUUUAUUUUGUAGCAUAUCCUUCAGCUUGGGUUUGUUUAAUAUUUCUGCUUGAGUAGGUUCAGAUGAUGUGCUUCUGGCAGUGUUGCCACAGAAUUGAUAUUGUGUCAUUUUUAGUGCAUUGUAUCAGUAGACACAUGAUAGAAUUUGUCCUGUGUGUGAAUUUUGAGCUUUUGGUUGAAGUUGUGUCUGCCAGGUUUUUUCACUAUAAAGUUAUUAUGUUUUCCUUUAUAUUUAAUAAGAACCUUAUGAGGAGACACUUUCAGACUAUCCUGUUUCUCGUUGAAGUUUCAGUCACUAGUUUUUAGCAUCCAUUGUGAUUCUUUCCUAAAACAGUUAUUACUGUGGUAGUUGCUAAAUCGCGUUUUGCAAUUUCCAUCAUUCCUUCUAUGUUUUUAAGUCUUGUUUUACUAUAAGCAAGAGUUUUCCCUUAUCCCACAUUCAUUUAUUCUUUUAGUAAUAUCUAUAUGAACUCCUGAUUUCUCAUUUUGUGGUCUGUAUCUUUAAUAUCACUGUGAUAUCAUAAUAUCAGUAAUACCACUCAUCAUUAAUUUUAAUGCCACAUUUUUUUUUUUUUCAGAUUUGACCAGUGGGAGUUAUUCACAUGGCUCUUAGAUUUUUUUUUUGAUGCAGCCACAUCUUUUUUUGCCUACUUCUGUACUUCCUGGCACAGCAAGGUGUUUCAGGCUGAUCUUGUACUUUCUUUUUUCUGGCCCUGGAAUCAGCCCUUUUUUUCUCCUUUUCUUUCUUCAAGACACCCUUGUCUUGUUCCUUUUAGUGGAGAAUGUUACUAAGAAACCAAGCUUUGUGCUCAUUGCUGCUGGGGUAUCACUGAGUCUAGGCCUUCUCAGUGAUUAGAGCUAGGGGUGUGUGUGUGUCUGUACAUCUAUAUCUAAUUCUCUACAUAAAUUAAAACCAUGAAUUUUUACAGAUGUCUCCAGUUACAGAAGGUUCACUCUAGUUUUCUGCCCUUCCAUAUUGUAAUGCCCUUCUCUGACAGUGAGAAACCUGGCUCCUAUUAUCUAUAAUAAUAUUUAUGUUUUUGCUUAAUCCUGGAAUAUGUAUAUAAUAGUUUCAGAACUGUUAAUCCACACCACUGAAAAAUAGACCCAGAACUAGAGUUCAGUAUUUGCUUAUAUUUUGUCUUCAGCCUGAAGGCUUAUAAGAUUCAAAAUACUGUGUUCACAAGUUGCUUGGGUUAGUCCCUUUCCUCACCUUAGUGUGCUUAUAUUUGAAAAAAGUACAAUUAGUUUGUUUUUGUUGUACUUUGUUUUGCCCCAACCUCCCCUUCUUUUAAGGUGUUAUUUUUUAAUAUGUAAAACACUAACAUUUAGAUUCUUAAAGUCAGAACUGUAUAAAACGUGUGCUCAUUGCUAUUUCCCUUCCAUUUAUUCUGCUCUGUUCCCUCCCUGUCUCUUCCACAGUGUUCCCAACCCCUUUCCUCUGAGACAACCAAUCUCAGUUGUUUCUAGUUUGUAAGAUACCACCUGAAUUUAGUACAAAUAUUAUUUUUGUAUAUGUAUAUUUAAGGUUAAAUGACACAGAAAUUGUUAUGUGAAUUUACUAUGAAGAUGAUCUUACUAUGUCUUUCUUUAGCCAAAACCUAUUGAUGUACAAGUCAUUACACACCACAUGCAGCGAUAUGCAGUUUGGUUUGGAGGAUCAAUGCUGGCUUCCACGUCUAUAAUGCUUGAAUUGUACACUUCUAAGUGUGCAGUGCAAGAGCUUGUUUAUAUUUCAUACUUUUUAUACUUUGAGGAAAAAAAGUCAAAGAAAAAUUGUAUUUGAGGGAAAAAACCAUGACCAAGUAAAGGAUAAAUUCAAAAAAUAGCCUCAUAAGACUUGGCAUACACACUCAUGGGAUUCCAGUUAUUAUGGAGUGCUUCCAUCCCUCUCCACCCCUUCCCCCCAAAAGGUUUUCUUUGCAAGUGCUUUUGGAACUAAGAGCUAGUAUCUUGGAUUAACUGAUGCCUGCUAGUGCUUUCUGAUAACUCGCAUUCUGUUUCUUGCUUUAAAGGAAGAGUAAAGACAAGAGUGUUGGACCAGUAUUGCAGUUCUGUAGUGUCAUUUCUUAUAAAAAACAAAACAACAACAAUAAUUUAUCAAAAUUGGCAUAUUUAAAGCCUAACAACAUUCUAAUAAAGGCACAAAUUUCUUUUUAAUACUUGUUUUAGGCUCUUUAAUCUCUUUAUAAGUUAACUAAUCUAUUUUCUUCAAACUUCUGCAAUAGUUCUUUAAAAUCACAACAGUUAGCAAGCUGACUUUUUUAAUGUGCUCAAUACAAAUACUUGUGAACUUUUAAUAUGUUGAGUGCUUUCAUUUUGAUAACUGGAUCUCCAUUUGAUAUUUUCAUUUGUAUAACUCAUUUGAAGUCUGAAAAUUUUUUUUAGUGCCAGUCCCUGAACAUAUCAUUGAAAGUUAAUUUUCUUUGCAUUUUAAAAUAUCUGGAUUAUGAAGAAAAAGUGAUGAAAAUAAAUUAAAACUGAAUUA
This 5552-nucleotide small RNA is filed under the name Pongo abelii (Sumatran orangutan). RNAcentral describes it as "retained intron". Lineage: Eukaryota; Metazoa; Chordata; Mammalia; Primates; Hominidae. The record is from RNAcentral.